AACGCACAUUGCGCCCUUUGGCAUUCCGAGGGGCAUGCCCGUUCGAGCGUCAUUACACCACUCAAGCCUGGCUUGGUAUUGGGCGGCGGGAUUCCCCCGCGCCUCCAUGUGCAUUCGGCUGGACGGUCUGGAUCUCAGCGUUGUGGCAAUCAAUUCGCCGACGUGAAGGACCGGCUGCGCCGUUAAACUUCCAUUAAAGGUUGACCUCGGAUCGGGUAGGGAUACCCGCUGAACUUAA
Molecule: unclassified non-coding RNA, 238 nt
Filed under: uncultured fungus
Lineage: Eukaryota; Fungi
Description: partial contains 5.8S ribosomal RNA, internal transcribed spacer 2, and large subunit ribosomal RNA
Source: RNAcentral